RNAcentral lists this ribosomal RNA (495 nucleotides) under uncultured bacterium. RNAcentral's name for it is "partial 16S ribosomal RNA". It matches the Rfam family "Bacterial small subunit ribosomal RNA", at positions 28 to 507 of the family's 1533-position model. The record is from RNAcentral.
GACGAACGCUGGCGGCGUGCCUAAUACAUGCAAGUAGAACGCUGAAGGAGGAGCUUGCUUCUCUGGAUGAGUUGCGAACGGGUGAGUAACGCGUAGGUAACCUGCCUGGUAGCGGGGGAUAACUAUUGGAAACGAUAGCUAAUACCGCAUAAGAGUAGAUGUUGCAUGACAUUUUCUUAAAAGGUGCAAUUGCAUCACUACCAGAUGGACCUGCGUUGUAUUAGCUAGUUGGUGAGGUAACGGCUCACCAAGGCAACGAUACAUAGCAGACCUGAGAGGGUGAUCGGCCAAACUGGGAAUGAGACACGGCACAGACUCCUACGGGAGGCAGCAGUAGGGAAUCUUCGGAAAUGGACGGAAGUCUGACCGAGAAAAGCCGCGUGAGUGAAGAAGGUUUUCGGAUCGUAAAGCUCUGUUGUAAGAGAAGAACGAGUGUGAGAGUGGAAAGUUCACACUGUGACGGUAUCUUACCAGAAAGGGACGGCUAACUACGUG